CUCAGUGUUCUCAUGAGGGCUUGCGGAUCCGGUUUCUAGACCGGAAUCAGCCAUUUCUGAUGAGCUUACAGUUAAAUCAACCACAUCGCUAGUUUCAAAAGAUAUAUUUAUGAUAUCUACUGGUCCAUUUAACGGGUUUAAAAAAAAAUAAUAAUAGAACAGAGUGACCAUGAAUUAAUGGACUAGGUUACGAAAUAUAUUUAUAAAUUUAAAAAAUGCAAAACAGUUUUUUUUAAAUUUUGUUUUUUUUUAACCAAAUAAAUUUAUGACUACCGAGUAAGCGUGGGCGUAAGUAAUUUAUUAUUUAUAAAUUUAAAUGUGUAAUUUUAAUUCCAAUAAUUUAUUGAUCGCAAUACCUGCGUUUUCACGCCGCCCUAGCACACUUGCACCAAAUAAAACUUAAAUUACACACUACGUACAAAACUUUACUUAUUUAUCAUACAGAUAAUUAAUUAUCUGAUAAUUAAUAAUUAAUCAUCAUUUAUUAAUACAUUUGAAUAUUGUUUUUUUUUU
Long non-coding RNA from Microplitis mediator, 513 nucleotides. RefSeq lists it as uncharacterized. The record is from RefSeq and is a predicted model, not a curated record. NCBI's taxonomy places the organism in Eukaryota, Metazoa, Arthropoda, Insecta, Hymenoptera, Braconidae. The transcript is spliced from 2 exons.